UCGUACGAGAACUCUUUAGCUUGCUAAAGAUAGUAAAGUGGCGCACGGGUGAGUAACGCGUGGGUAAUCUACCUCCGAAUCGGGGAUAACCCGCCGAAAGGCGAGCUAAUACCGGAUAAUAUCUUUAAAACUUCGGUUUUAAAGAUCAAAGGUGGUCUCUACAUGUAAGCUACUGUUUGGAGAUGAGCCCGCGUACCAUUAGCUUGUUGGUAGGGUAAUGGCCUACCAAGGCUUCGAUGGUUAGCUGGUCUGAGAGGAUGAUCAGCCACACUGGAACUGACACACGGUCCAGACUCCUACGGGAGGCAGCAGUGAGGAAUUUUGCGCAAUGGGGGAAACCCUGACGCAGCAACGCCGCGUGAGUGAUGAAAGGUUUUCGGGUCGUAAAGCUCUGUCCAGUGGGAAGAAAAAUGCUUGAUUGUUAAUACCAUCUUCUCACUGUGACGGUACCACUGAAGGAAAACACCGCGCCUAACUCCGUGCCGGCAGCCCCCCGCGGUAAUACGGGGGGGUGCAA
Molecule: ribosomal RNA, 517 nt
Filed under: uncultured bacterium
Lineage: Bacteria
Description: bacterial SSU rRNA
Rfam family: Bacterial small subunit ribosomal RNA
Source: RNAcentral